Molecule: long non-coding RNA, 240 nt
Filed under: Carica papaya (papaya)
Lineage: Eukaryota; Viridiplantae; Streptophyta; Magnoliopsida; Brassicales; Caricaceae
Description: long non-coding RNA (CPAP_LNC014911)
Source: RNAcentral
AUCAUCUGAUCACGUUUAAGGAAAAAAUAAAUAUGAACUUUUUAUCGUGAUUUGAUCUCAACUGUUCGAUUGUGUUUAAAGGGGAAACAAAUUCGAACUGUCCACGCGCGCAAGAUCAAUCCUACCGUCCGAUCGCGGAGCACGCUGAUUGCCUGCGUGGCACCAACGUCAGCAUGCCUUGUCAUGCGUCGUGCUCUAGUGGUUGCUGAUUGGGCAAUCUUACGUAGCAAAUUUUUUUUA